Molecule: ribosomal RNA, 497 nt
Filed under: uncultured bacterium
Lineage: Bacteria
Description: partial 16S ribosomal RNA
Rfam family: Bacterial small subunit ribosomal RNA
Source: RNAcentral
GAUGAACGCUGGCGGCGUGCCUAAUGCAUGCAAGUCGAGCGAACAGACGAGGAGCUUGCUCCUCUGACGUUAGCGGCGGACGGGUGAGUAACACGUGGAUAACCUACCUAUAAGACUGGGAUAACUUCGGGAAACCGGAGCUAAUACCGGAUAAUAUAUUGAACCGCAUGGUUCAAUAGUGAAAGACGGUUUUGCUGUCACUUAUAGAUGGAUCCGCGCCGCAUUAGCUAGUUGGUAAGGUAACGGCUUACCAAGGCAACGAUGCGUAGCCGACCUGAGAGGGUGAUCGGCCACACUGGAACUGAGACACGGUCCAGACUCCUACGGGAGGCAGCAGUAGGGAAUCUUCCGCAAUGGGCGAAAGCCUGACGGAGCAACGCCGUGUGAGUGAUGAAGGUCUUCGGAUCGUAAAACUCUGUUAUUAGGGAAGAACAAAUGUGUAAGUAACUAUGCACGUCUUGACGGUACCUAAUCAGAAAGCCACGGCUAACUACGUG